This 315-nucleotide ribosomal RNA is filed under the name uncultured bacterium. RNAcentral describes it as "bacterial SSU rRNA". It matches the Rfam family "Bacterial small subunit ribosomal RNA", at positions 32 to 333 of the family's 1533-position model. The record is from RNAcentral.
GAUAAAACGCUGGCGGCGCACAUAAGACAUGCAAGUCGAACGGACUUAACCAUUAGUUUACUAUUGGAGCGGUUAGUGGCGGACUGGUGAGUAACGCGUAAGCAAUCUGCCUAUCAGAGGGGAAUAACAGUGAGAAAUCAUUGCUAAUACCGCAUAAGCUGUGAGUAUCGCAUGAUACAAAUAGAAAAGGAGCAAUCCGCUGAUAGAUGAGCUUGCGUCUGAUUAGUUAGUUGGUGAGGUAACGGCCCACCAAGACGAUGAUCAGUAGCCGGACUGAGAGGUUGAACGGCCACAUUGGGACUGAGAUACGGCCAG